Molecule: long non-coding RNA, 611 nt
Organism: Teleopsis dalmanni
Lineage: Eukaryota; Metazoa; Arthropoda; Insecta; Diptera; Diopsidae
Exons: 4
Source: RefSeq, a predicted model, not a curated record
GAAACGUAACGACAACAAAUCCGAUUGGAAGUAGUGCACUUACCACAUUCAUGGGAUCAAAACUUUGUGUGGGAUAUCCAAUCUUGUAACUGCUUAUAACUGAAUCAUAACUAAAACUGUUUGAGAAGGUCUAGACAAACCGUAAAGAUCUAAGGAAUGACACUUAUAUAUACUGAAGCCCUGUUUAAAAAUGACGGGCAGCAUGUGAAGAGAAAGAUUGAAUGACUGUUUACCACUAAGGCACGCAUACAUAAUGAAGUCUGGCUUUGAAGGUCCUUAAAGGAUGAAAAUUGAAUGUUCAAAUAAAUUUAAAAACUAUCUGAUUUAUGAUUUUGCAAUAAAGAUCCGAACACGACUAUUUUAAAAAAUUUGAGACUUGUUUUCAUCCUUCUAAAAUCAUACGCCAUCUAUUGAUGUAACGCUCAUCGGGUUCUAUCAGAAUAAGAUUUUACAGUGCACUUUGAUAAGAUCUAUGCGAAAAAUUUUUUAGCAGGAAGAAAAGAUUUUAAUGGAUCGACAUGGUUAUGUAAUGAGUUUCCUGUUAAUAUAUCUAACUGCCUUAAAAAGGGUAUUAAUCUAAUAUUAAUGAUAAUGCUACAAAAAAUAUUAAA